RNAcentral lists this ribosomal RNA (696 nucleotides) under uncultured bacterium. RNAcentral describes it as "bacterial SSU rRNA". It matches the Rfam family "Bacterial small subunit ribosomal RNA", at positions 139 to 851 of the family's 1533-position model. The record is from RNAcentral.
GGGGAUAACGUUUGGAAACGAACGCUAAUACCGCAUGAUAUUAUUGGGCAGCAUUGCCUGAUAAUCAAAGGAGCAAUCCGCUGAAAGAUGGGCUCGCGUCCGAUUAGGUAGUUGGCGGGGUAACGGCCCACCAAGCCGACGAUCGGUAGCCGGACUGAGAGGUUGAACGGCCACAUUGGGACUGAGACACGGCCCAGACUCCUACGGGAGGCAGCAGUGAGGGAUAUUGGUCAAUGGGGGAAACCCUGAACCAGCAACGCCGCGUGAGGGAAGACGGUUUUCGGAUUGUAAACCUCUGUCCUCUGUGAAGAUGAUGACGGUAGCAGAGGAGGAAGCUCCGGCUAACUACGUGCCAGCAGCCGCGGUAAUACGUAGGGAGCAAGCGUUGUCCGGAUUUACUGGGUGUAAAGGGUGCGUAGGCGGCUUUGCAAGUCAGAAGUGAAAUCUAUGGGCUUAACCCAUAAACUGCUUUUGAAACUGCAGGGCUUGAGUGAAGUAGAGGUAGGCGGAAUUCCCGGUGUAGCGGUGAAAUGCGUAGAGAUCGGGAGGAACACCAGUGGCGAAGGCGGCCUACUGGGCUUUAACUGACGCUGAGGCACGAAAGCGUGGGUAGCAGACAGGAUUAGAUACCCUGGUAGUCCACGCUGUAAACGAUGAUUACUGGGUGUGGGUGGACUGACCCCAUCCGUGCCGGAG